RNAcentral lists this ribosomal RNA (488 nucleotides) under uncultured bacterium. Its description in RNAcentral is "partial 16S ribosomal RNA". It matches the Rfam family "Bacterial small subunit ribosomal RNA", at positions 28 to 507 of the family's 1533-position model. The record is from RNAcentral.
GAUGAACGCUAGCGGCAGGCCUAAUACAUGCAAGUCGGACGGGAUCCAUUGAUAGCUUGCUAUCAAUGGUGAGAGUGGCGCACGGGUGCGUAACGCGUGAGCAACCUGCCUCCAUCAGGGGGAUAGCCUCUCGAAAGAGAGAUUAACACCGCAUAAUAUCAACAGUUCGCAUGUUCAGUUGAUUAAAUAUUUAUAGGAUGGAGAUGGGCUCGCGUGACAUUAGCUAGUUGGUAGGGUAACGGCUUACCAAGGCGACGAUGUCUAGGGGCUCUGAGAGGAGAAGCCCCCACACUGGUACUGAGAAACGGACCAGACUCCUACGGGAGGCAGCAGUAAGGAAUAUUGGUCAAUGGGCGGAAGCCUGAACCAGCCAUGCCGCGUGCAGGAUGACUGCCCUAUGGGUUGUAAACUGCUUUUGUCCAGGAAUAAACCUAAAUACGAGUAUUUAGCUGAAUGUACUGGAAGAAUAAGGAUCGGCUAACUCCGUG